CCGCAUGGUACAUGAUUUGAGGGCAAUUAAUGCUGUAACUGAACUCAUUGCCCCUAAUGUUCCCAACCCACACACCUUGUUGGCACAAAUACCACCUUCCUCUAAGGUAUUUACUGUUAUUGACUUGGCAAAUGCAUUUUUCAGUGUCCCCCUCGCUCCCGACAGUCAGUUUUUAUUUACAUUUACACAUAAACACAAGCAGUACACUUGGACAGUAUUGCCACAGGGUGCACAAAACUCACCCACUAUGUACAGCAUGGCUAUGGCCCAGAUUCUUGAAGAGUGGAAAAGGCCAAAUAAUGUAAUUUUAUUACAGUAUAUCGACGACUUACUCCUAUGUUGCGAUAAUAUGGAAUCUUGUAUUGUAAACACUCUUUCCUUGCUGAAGUUCCUGGAAAAAGCAGGCUGUAAAGCGACAAAAACAAAACUGCAAGCAUGUGUAGAGAAGGUUAUUUUCCUAGGACAUUGCAUUUCCCAGGGCAUAAAACAUCUCACGGAAAGUAGAAAGACUGCAGUUCAAAAUAUUAGACCCCCCUGCAGUUUAGCCCAGGUUCGUACUUUACUCGGUUUGAUUUCUUACAGCUGUCCUUGGCGGCGUUCCGUAGCUAUCUACAUGCAACCACUGUAUGAUUGUCUUGCCAACGAAAACAAACCAUUUAAAUUAACCCAUGCGGCAGAAAAUGCCUUCUAUACCCUUAAGUUACUGGUAACGUCAGCUCCGGCACUGGGUCUCCCAGUUUACAGAAAGAAUUUACAUCUUUCGUUACACAGAGGAUCAUGGUGGUAAACAAAGACCAAUAGCAUUCUACUCCACCAGAUUGGACCCUGUUGCCAGGGGUGCCCCCUCAUGCGUUAGGGCAGUGGCGGCUGUUACUGCCCUCCUGGACAAAGCCACUGAUAUUGUUUUAGAUAAUCUGGUGACCAUAUACACACCGCGUGAUAUCAACAGCAUACUCUCACAAGUUCAACCAAAACACAUACAUACUGCAAGGCAUCUCAGAAUGCAAUGUGCCUUGCUUAUGCCACCUAAUGUUACUCUUAAAAGGUGUAUGGUGUUAAAUCCAUCCAUAUUGCUUCCCCUGGAUUUAAAAGAGGGGAGUGGGGAUAGUGUGAAUGGUACUUGUACUUCUGAUCUUUUUGUAAAUUCACUUUCACCAGAUGAGUUAGCUGAUGCCCAGGUACCCCAUGAUUGUGCAGCACUAAUGGCACAAGAGACAGCAGGUUUUUUGCAUGUAAUUGAUUCUCCAUUAUCUAAUGCAGAUUUUGAGUUUUUUGUAGAUGGUUCCAGAUAUGCUGAUGAGAAGGGUAAUUUCCACACUGGAUAUGCUGUAGUCUCUGCACAUGAGGUAAUAAAAGCUGAACCACUCGCUCCUCACUGCUCUGCACAGGAGGCAGAGCUGAAGGCACUCACUGAAGCGUGUAAAAUGGCUUCUGGUAAGACUGCUAAUAUUUAUACAGACUCUCGCUAUGCUUUUGGUAUAGCCCAUCAUUUUGGCCCUAUAAGGCGGGCUCAUGAUUUUCUCACCUCAGCAGGAACUCCAAUCAAGAAUUCUGAAGCCGUGAGUGCACUUAUGAAUGCUAUCCUGCUACCCACUCAAGUAGGCAUCAUCAAGGUGGCAGCUCACGUGAAGAUCACAGAUGAAAUCUCAAGAGGAAACCACAAAGCAGACGAAGCUGCCAAGCAAGCAGCAAUCCAAGUUCAUCCCUCUACAGGUAAUACCUUCCUACAAGUUGUUCUUACAGAUGACGCCAUUGACUACAAUAUACUGUUGAGUUUACAAAGACAGGCAAGCAAGGAAGAACAUGAUCUCUGGAGGAAACAAGAUGCAGAACCUGAUGAUGACAGAAUGUGGAGGAAAGGUAAAAGACUGUGUUUACCACGAGUGUUGUACCCCAUGAUGGCCCAGAUUGCCCUACACAUCUAUCCAAGAUGCACAUGAACAGCAUAGUAAACACCCAUUGGGUAGCACCCGGAUUUACUGUUGUAGCAGCUAAACACACCCAAGCUUGCAUGAUUUGUGCUAGAAACAAUCCAGGAUAGGCUGUAAAAACACCAAGUAAGCACACACCAAGGCCACUUUACCCGUUUCAAAGACUGCAGAUAGACUAUAUUAAACUACCUAAAGUAGGAGUGCAUGAAUAUGUGUUGGUGUGCAUUGAUCUCUUUUCAGGUUGGCCUGAGGCCUACCCAGUGUCGAAAGCCACAACGAAGGUCACAGCAAGUAAGCUUCUGAAGGAACUGGUAUGUAGAUAUGGAGUACCUGAAGUGAUUGAAAGUGACAGAGGUAGCCAUUUCACUGGGGAAAUAAUGCAAGAAAUUAUGAAAGCCUUAGGGAUCAGUCAGGCCUUCCACACCCCCUAUCACCCCCAGAGUAGUGGGAAAGUAGAAAGGGCAAAUGGCACCUUAAAGAACAAGAUUGCAAAAGCCAUGCAAGACACAGGGAAGCCCUGGACUGAAUGCCUUCCCCCAGCACUCUUUUCUAUGAGAUUCACCCCCAAUUCCAGACAUGGCCUAUCCCGUUUUGAGAUCCUGUUUGGAUGUGCCCCAAAGACAGGCCUCUAUUUUCUCCAAACCUUCCAGAUGCAGCAUGGUAGUAUGACUGCCUAUGUUCAGGCCCUACACCAAAGAUUAGGCAGGGUGCAUAAACAAGUCUUUGAUUCUAUUCCAGAUCCAGACUCUGAUUCUGCAACUCACAAACUGCAACCUGGUGAUUGGGUGUUGAUAAAGAGGCAUGUGAAGAAAGGACUUGAACCACGCUUUGAUGGUCCAUUCCAAGUGCUCUUGACUACGGCUACCUCAGUGAAACUAGAAGGAAAAGCCAUGUGGAUACACGCCAGUCACUGUAAACAAGUCACUCUGACUGAUCCACCAACAUGAAGCUGUUCUUAUCCUUUACCAUUUUAUACUGUGUUCGGAUAUGCUACUCUGACUUGAGACCAGAAAAUAAUAAUGCAUGGCAGGAAAAUAUAUGGUUGCAGAGAGCAAAGGCUUUUAAUUUAACCUCCUUUUGCCUCAACCCUCUCCUCAGUACUGAAAAUGCCAUAGAAUCUUGUCUUAUAGCUGUCCCUACCCCCAUCUCACAGUUGAGGAAGUACCUACAUACCCAUAGACCCGAUAAAUCUCUACAAUUAUAUUCUUAUGCCUUCAACCCACUGGUAGGCAAGCCUCCUCUAGCCCUGAAGACAAUUAAUGUGACAGGCGCUGAACUAUGUUGGUCUUUUUCAUGUAAUUGUUCAAGAGACCCUAAUACUGAAUCCCUGUUUUGCCCCACAUGGUGGAAAAAUACCACAAGUUGUAGAGCCCUGAGCACCACUAUGAAUUGUACCAAAACUCACCAAGUUAUGAGUUACCACUACAAUGUCUAUCUUCCUAAAGGAUGGACUUUCUCCUGUGGAAAUAUUACUUAUGCUUAUGUCCAGGUAACAUUACAGGAGGUUCCUGUGCAAUCUCUCGCCUAACCAUGACCAUGUUUUCCAAAUCUGACCUUAUCACUAAAACCACCCAGCUACACAAACUGCUGAGAGACAGGAGAGAUGUUAAAAACAUGACUUAGUACAGGAUAUCAAACAGGAUACUGGCUUCUUUGGGGAUUGGGAUUGGACAUUUGGGCAAGGAACAUGGUUAACUUUACUAAUUAAGAAGAUUUUGUACUUUUUGCUAUUAGCUGUAUUUGUCAUUAUGGCUAUUUUUCUAACCUUUAGAUUUUUUUCAUGUCUACUAACCUCUCUAUGUAAAAGCAAACCUACUGUUGGUCGUACCUUAACUUACAUUCCAGCUCCGACUUCGAAAAGGUUUUAUGAUGUUACCUCGCCUAACAAAUGAAGGAACUCUCCUCUGCUGAUUCUGGUGGUCUCUCAGUCCAAGGGAACCGUGGUGAAGCAAUAAAUGAAAGUCCCACAGGCUUUGGCUAGCAGGCCUGGAUAUACCUUGGACAUUUGGGUGACCCUUGGAUCAAAAGAGGGGAUUGUGAUAGAAUUUAUCUUGAUUCCAAGGCUCAAGCUUAUAGGUGUCAUAUAAUGAUAUCCUAUAUUAAAAUUGGCUAACUUGGACUCAGGAAAUGCUUGAUGCUUAAACAACACUUAAGACCAUAUAUGUCUAAGUUCCGGGAGUAGAGAGCCCCCACCUAAGAUGUCUCUGCUCUAAUCAUUUUGUUCUCUCUUGCCUUGAAACUUAUUUGUUAUGUGUACAUGAUGCUCAUCCCUAUGUCUUAUCUGUACACUCUUCCUAUUACUGUUCUAAGAAUAUUUGCACGUAAGCACUUACUUUUUAAUGUAUAAAACCCAGCUGAUGAAUAAAACGUCAGAGGCUUAUUUUGAAUACCAA
Molecule: long non-coding RNA, 4324 nt
Filed under: Pelobates cultripes (western spadefoot toad)
Lineage: Eukaryota; Metazoa; Chordata; Amphibia; Anura; Pelobatidae
Source: RNAcentral